GAUGGAGGGGGAUAACUACUGGAAACGGUAGCUAAUACCGCAUAACGUCGCAAGACCAAAGAGGGGGACCUUAGGGCCUCUUGCCAUCGGAUGUGCCCAGAUGGGAUUAGCUAGUAGGUGGGGUAAAGGCUCACCUAGGCGACGAUCCCUAGCUGGUCUGAGAGGAUGACCAGCCACACUGGAACUGAGACACGGUCCAGACUCCUACGGGAGGCAGCAGUGGGGAAUAUUGCACAAUGGGCGCAAGCCUGAUGCAGCCAUGCCGCGUGUAUGAAGAAGGCCUUCGGGUUGUAAAGUACUUUCAGCGGGGAGGAAGGGAGUAAAGUUAAUACCUUUGCUCAUUGACGUUACCCGCAGAAGAAGCACCGGCUAACUCCGUGCCAGCAGCCGCGGUAAUACGGAGGGUGCAAGCGUUAAUCGGAAUUACUGGGCGUAAAGCGCACGCAGGCGGUUUGUUAAGUCAGAUGUGAAAUCCCCGGGCUCAACCUGGGAACUGCAUCUGAUACUGGCAAGCUUGAGUCUCGUAGAGGGGGGUAGAAUUCCAGGUGUAGCGGUGAAAUGCGUAGAGAUCUGGAGGAAUACCGGUGGCGAAGGCGGCCCCCUGGACGAAGACUGACGCUCAGGUGCGAAAGCGUGGGGAGCAAACAGGAUUAGAUACCCUGGUAGUCCACGCCGUAAACGAUGUCGACUUGGAGGUUGUGCCCUUGAGGCGUGGCUUCCGGAGCUAACGCGUUAAGUCGACCGCCUGGGGAGUACGGCCGCAAGGUUAAAACUCAAAUGAAUUGACGGGGGCCCGCACAAGCGGUGGAGCAUGUGGUUUAAUUCGAUGCAACGCGAAGAACCUUACCUGGUCUUGACAUCCACGGAAGUUUUCAGAGAUGAGAAUGUGCCUUCGGGAACCGUGAGACAGGUGCUGCAUGGCUGUCGUCAGCUCGUGUUGUGAAAUGUUGGGUUAAGUCCCGCAACGAGCGCAACCCUUAUCCUUUGUUGCCAGCGGUCCGGCCGGGAACUCAAAGGAGACUGCCAGUGAUAAACUGGAGGAAGGUGGGGAUGACGUCAAGUCAUCAUGGCCCUUACGACCAGGGCUACACACGUGCUACAAUGGCGCAUACAAAGAGAAGCGACCUCGCGAGAGCAAGCGGACCUCAUAAAGUGCGUCGUAGUCCGGAUUGGAGUCUGCAACUCGACUCCAUGAAGUCGGAAUCGCUAGUAAUCGUGGAUCAGAAUGCCACGGUGAAUACGUUCCCGGGCCUUGUACACACCGCCCGUCACACCAUGGGAGUGGGUUGCAAAAGAAGUAGGUAGCUUAACCUUCGGGAGGGCGCUUACCACUUUGUGAUUCAUGACUGGGGUGAAGUCGUAACAAGGUAACCGUAGGGGAACCUGCGGUUGGAUCACCUCCUUACCUUAAAGAAGC
This 1417-nucleotide ribosomal RNA is filed under the name Escherichia coli. RNAcentral describes it as "bacterial SSU rRNA". It matches the Rfam family "Bacterial small subunit ribosomal RNA". The record is from RNAcentral. Lineage: Bacteria; Pseudomonadati; Pseudomonadota; Gammaproteobacteria; Enterobacterales; Enterobacteriaceae.